UAUUGUUAGUUGCCAUCAUUCAGUUGGGCACUCUAGCGAGACUGCCGGUAAUAAACCGGAGGAAGUGGGGAUGACGUCAAAUCAUCAUGCCCCUUAUGACCUGGGCUACACACGUGCUACAAUGGUUGGUACAACGAGUUGCGAGUCGGUGACGGCGAGCUAAUCUCUUAAAGCCAAUCUCAGUUCGGAUUGUAGGCUGCAACUCGCCUACAUGAAGUCGGAAUCGCUAGUAAUCGCGGAUCAGCACGCCGCGGUGAAUACGUUCCCGGGCCUU
This 274-nucleotide ribosomal RNA is filed under the name uncultured Streptococcus sp. RNAcentral's name for it is "partial 16S ribosomal RNA". It matches the Rfam family "Bacterial small subunit ribosomal RNA", at positions 1106 to 1382 of the family's 1533-position model. Lineage: Bacteria; Bacillati; Bacillota; Bacilli; Lactobacillales; Streptococcaceae. The record is from RNAcentral.